Molecule: ribosomal RNA, 520 nt
Filed under: Pterygioteuthis hoylei
Lineage: Eukaryota; Metazoa; Mollusca; Cephalopoda; Oegopsida; Enoploteuthidae
Description: partial 28S ribosomal RNA
Rfam family: Eukaryotic large subunit ribosomal RNA
Source: RNAcentral
CCGAGGAGUCCUGGCCGUUCGCGAGUCGUAGGGGCCCGUUACAAACCCCGGAGGCGUAGCGAAAGCGAGAGAGCGUGUUGGAGGGCACCGGAUUUGGAGAGGUGUUUCUGCUUCGGCGGUUCCCGAUCCUGCUGGCGCGACGAGUACUYGUACUUUCCGUCGUCCGCCCCGCGUUCGCUGUCAUCGCCGUAGUCGUCGGAUUUUCCCGUUCGCGGGAGAUGAUGUUUGUGGCUGCGGCGGGCGUGCGUGCGGGUUGUGCACGGCGGCGUCACUUUCCUCCUUCCGCCCACCGGUGAGAUCCUGCGGACACCAGUCACGCGGGCGCAUCACCCCCGGGUCGAUUUCCGACCACGAGUCGGUCGACUCAGGCGUAGCGAGCGACCAGGGACCCGAAAGAUGGCGAUCCACGCCCGGUCGGGAUGAAGCCAGAGGAAACUCUGGUGGAAGUCCGAAGCGCCUCUGACGUGCAAAUCGAUCGUCGGAACCGGGUGUAGGGGCGAAAGACCAAUCGAGCCGUCUA